UCCAGACAGACCUUGAACUCACACCUCUGUUUCUCAUGUACUGAUAUUACGAGCAUGUGGCACCACACCUGUGCCCCCCCAAUAUCACCGCACCUGAAACAGACACACUAGAAAGUCCACAAAGCCCCAGAGCUGGGUGGGGUCACUUCCGUCAGGACAAUGAAGAGUCCUGGGAAAACCAUCUCAGGUAGUUUCCCAGUGAGAAAUGGGAAGGUGGACCUGCUGGCGGCUGCCAGUUCUUGUGUGAAGGAGAUUUCGGGUCCCUCACCCGGACACUGGGCUGACUGGUUCCUACUAUCUGAAAGGAAGUAGGAACAGGCCUCUAAAUGACCACCCAGAAAAGGCCCAGGCAUGUUUACACGAACACCCUCCCCUCUCCAGGCUACCUUGCUAUGUUUCCACAAAAGCUCAGGAGCCAAACUGCACACUGCAGGUAAACAGUGGGGAGCCUGGGACCCAGCUCUGCCUUGCCAGAGCUGUGAGUAAGGGGUUUCUAGGCGAUGGAUAAAGCGAAAUGCCCCUUCCAAGGACAAGGCUGUAGGAACCCAGGUGUCCCCACCCUGUCCCACUCCGCCCGUUUCCCAAAUCAGCAAACACGGAAUAGAGAUAAAGCAGUAGAUAGUAGGGGAAUUUGUGUCCCUUUGGGCUGUCGUGCCUGGCCCCAAGCCCAGGCAGGAGACUUGGUUUCUGCCCUAGAACAAGGAAGGUCCAUUCCUCUUUUAGAACCCAACAAACUGGUUUCUCUUGACCCUCAAGCCUUCAGUCUGGGUAUUUCACUGACCCCUUGACUCAAGUGGGUGGUCCUGCCAGAGAGGUUCCAGAAGCUGCAGGACCCCUUGGGACUUACUGAAAUGCCACCUGGUGCAGACCCCACUCUAGCUGAAGAGCCGGAAGCCUUGACUCAGCAUGGCGGCACAUUCUUCAGGGGUAGCAAAAGGCAGCAGGUCACCGAGAGCCGAGAAUCAGGCCAGAGUCCCCAGUCCUACUCCCUGAUCCUGUGACCUCUCCCAGAACUCUGGGUCCGGAACAUGUCUCACGUAGCUCGUAUGUCCCUCCAGCCCAGCCUGUCCCAGGGUGCCUCUCUUCACAACCCUUCACCUCAGCACUUCUGAGUCAGGGCGCCCCACCCUCAAGGUCUCCCACACCAGCAAGUUGAGCCAGAUCAAAGCAGAAAUGGCUCAAAUACCCAUGCUCAACAGGGUGGGUGCUGUAGGAACCAAUCCGGGUGAGGAGGGACCAGAAGGAGCAGGAAAGCCUAUGCAGCAUGAACUCAGGCCCCUUCCUCCAUAGCUCCAGUGGGAGCCCCAUGAGCUCUCUGCAGCAGCUGUGCAUGUCUCCUCCAUCCAGGAGGGGCCGGUGCCACCCCACACACCCCAGGCCGGCAGAAGAGAAGUUUAUCCGGUGUCAGAUACCCAGCCCUGUCCAAGCUUCAGGGCCGCCUGCUUGACCCUCAGCCUAGUCCUCCCUUGGAGGUCCUGGUGCCACCCUGCCUCCCCUCCCUGAGCAAACAGGAGGAGCUCACCCUAUCCAGCAGCAAAAGCCAGAGAGCCCUGUUCCGUCAGGACCAGAGCUGGGUCAGCGACUGCCCAGGAAAACAGCCCCGCCUCAGCUCACAGGAACCGUGAAGAGAAUGGCCGACACGGUCUGGCCGCGGCAGCCUGAGCAAUGAUGACUGCCCGAUGUGCAGGGUGACUUCGCAAACAGAGGUCACUUUCUGCUUACAGAUGACUAGGAAAACUCCCAGGUUGCGUAGGCAGUAGUCCUGGACUCACUGCUGUGUGACCGUGAGGAAAGUACCUUCCCGUCUCUGGUCCUCAUGGGCACCCACCCCUCUUUGGACAUAGUCACAAACUAUGUGUAACUCCUCACUUCCUAACAUUUCCAUUUAUUUGUAAAGAAGAACUCUCUCUUUUUUCCUUUGGUUUUUCAAGACAAAGUUUCUCUGUGUAAUAGUCCUACACGUCCUGGAACUCCCGUUGUAGACCAUGCAGGCUUCGAACUCAGAGACCUGUCUGCCUCUGCCUUCCAAGUGUUGGGAUUAAAGAUGUGUGCAACCACCA
This is a long non-coding RNA of Mesocricetus auratus (golden hamster), 2060 nucleotides long. RefSeq lists it as uncharacterized. The transcript has 3 exons. The record is from RefSeq and is a predicted model, not a curated record. Lineage: Eukaryota; Metazoa; Chordata; Mammalia; Rodentia; Cricetidae.